GCUUUCAUCGUUCAAUGGAUAGGACAUCUCCCUCCGAAGGAGAAAAUCCAGGUUCGACUCCUGGUGAGAGCA
This 72-nucleotide transfer RNA is filed under the name Minisyncoccota bacterium. Its description in RNAcentral is "tRNA-Arg". It matches the Rfam family "tRNA". Rfam says of the family: Transfer RNA (tRNA) molecules are approximately 80 nucleotides in length. Their secondary structure includes four short double-helical elements and three loops (D, anti-codon, and T loops). Further hydrogen bonds mediate the characteristic L-shaped molecular structure. tRNAs have two regions of fundamental functional importance: the anti-codon, which is responsible for specific mRNA codon recognition, and the 3' end, to which the tRNAs corresponding amino acid is attached (by aminoacyl-tRNA synthetases). tRNAs cope with the degeneracy of the genetic code in two manners: having more than one tRNA (with a specific anti-codon) for a particular amino acid; and 'wobble' base-pairing, i.e. permitting non-standard base-pairing at the 3rd anti-codon position. Lineage: Bacteria; Bacillati; Minisyncoccota. The record is from RNAcentral.